UGCUGCUCCAACAAGAUUCAUCCAUGUAGUCAGUGAAAGCUGUGCUGGAUAUCGUUUCAAAGUGUACGCCUGCAAUAUUUUCUUGAUUUGCUUGCAACCGCAAGAAUGGAGCCUUGCAACCAGUUCUUGUGGACAGCUGUUGUGCUUCCUUUUAUAUGAAUGAUUCCAUGUCCUAUGUUUUGUAAAGCGGGUCCCUUGUACAAUGUCAUCGUCAUAACACCAGCCAACGAGAUUGCAGUUCCUAGGAUUUUUGCAAUCCCACGAGGGCUUCGGACGUUUACAAUCUCCAUUCUGCACAAGGAUUGUGCUUUCGGAAAUCUGAGAAUUGCACGAGAAAUUGUCAGCUGAACCUUCCUGCAAAAAAGCAUGAAAUGUAACGUGGUUGUUGGGGACUGUCCGAAGCGGUAUAGUGCGCGAAGAACGUAUUUGAAAAAUUCCAAUACUGUAUAAAGAUGGUAUGCGCAUUAUUUUAAUUCUCAUUUGUAUAAUCAAUUUUCUCUUUCUUUAAUAGAAGCAUUCAUAGC
This is a long non-coding RNA of Sesamum indicum (sesame), 524 nucleotides long. RefSeq lists it as uncharacterized. The record is from RefSeq and is a predicted model, not a curated record. Lineage: Eukaryota; Viridiplantae; Streptophyta; Magnoliopsida; Lamiales; Pedaliaceae.